UCUGGGCUUCCCCUCCAGCUGUUAUAGUCAGUAAGUAGUGUGUAUGACAAAAUUUUUGAGGUAAGUAACAUGGCAACAGGUACAGUUAAGUGGUUUAACAAUUCCAAGGGAUUCGGCUUUCUCGCACCGGCUGACGGUGGUGAAGAUGUAUUUGUACACUUCUCUGCUAUCAAGGGUGACGGUUAUAAGUCGCUGGAAGAGGGGCAGGGCGUAUCGUUUGAUAUUGAAGAUGGCCCGAAAGGACUGCAGGCUAGCAACGUCGUUCCUCAGUAACUAGACGUCUUCAAGUUUGCUUCGAGAACCCCGCUCCUGCGGGGUUUUUCGUU
This 326-nucleotide small RNA is filed under the name Solemya velesiana gill symbiont. RNAcentral's name for it is "cspA thermoregulator". It matches the Rfam family "cspA thermoregulator", at positions 77 to 428 of the family's 428-position model. The record is from Rfam by way of RNAcentral. Lineage: Bacteria; Pseudomonadati; Pseudomonadota; Gammaproteobacteria.